UGUGCACGUUUAGCGGCAGUUUGAGGGGGAGGGGGUGCGAUGAAGUCCCCCCCGUACGCGCCGCUUUUCGUGAGGUAAUUUUUGUGUGAAAAGCCGCUGAAAAGGGUUCGUUUAAAACCAGCUGGAAAACCUCGAGUACCUUAGAAGGGCCCCUCCAGGACCAGCCCCUGUGAAAAAGCAGCUUUUGAGGUAUUUUCAUGUAGAAAACGUGAACUUUGGCCAUGUCAGAGUUUCUAAAAUUAUUUUAAAUUUAAAAUUUUGACUUAAACCAGCUGCAAAUUGGCUGAUUAUUGCUGCAAAAAAUAUAAUUGAGCUAAAUUUUCCCUAAAUUCACGUUAUUUGGGGGGAGAGCUUUUCCAAUAGCUGAAAUGAUGGGGGGGAAAUUACAUUUGAAAAUCUUAAGAGUGGAAUAACACAGAAAAUAAUUAAUAACAAUAAGGAAAUAGUUUCUCCCGAAGGAAACGCCCCGAAAAUGUCGGAACAGCUCUUCCCACACCCCCAAAAUGCCUCAUUAACUUCGUCAGCAGCUUUAAUUAGCCUCAGAGCAGCUUUAAUGAAUGAUAAUUAGAGGGGUUGGGGAGAGGGGGUUGUCCCCUCCCUUCCAGCAUUUUUGGGGUGUCAUUUCCUGCCCGGAAACGCCUCAAAAUGCCUAAAAAAUGACUAAAAAAUUCAUUAAAAUAAUGGGUUUUAGUCCCUUUAUUGAAAACAGGGACUUCCAUGACUCGGCAUGGCCUGAAGUGGGGUGAAACACCGAGAUUUUGAUGCAUUUCUGUCGGAAAUAAAAGAAAUAAAGAUGGUAGUUCAAGCUGUGCUGGUCACGGGUGAAAAAAAAAAAAAAAGGGUUAUAAAAUGGUCGCUGGGGGUUUUGGGGGAAUAAAAAAUCGGUGAAAAUUGGGGGGUUUCAGGUCUGUGACCCCUAAAGAAGUUUUUUUUUCCCCCCCUCAAGAUUUGUGACCCUUUCGAGGAGAAACGGCGCCUUUUUGGCAUCGGCCCAAGCCCGUGACGCAGCAAAAGCCAAAACGAGUGUAAAAUUAAAAAAAAAAAAAAAAAUUAAAAAAAGCUCUAAAACCACCCGGAAAGGUCGAAGCCGGGGAUUUUAGGGCAGAACUGGCCAAACUGAACGAAAAAUCGCUGUUAAAUUUAACCACUUUCGUGCUGGACCGCGUGGGCCUGCCAAAGGCCCACAGCCUGAUGGGGGGGAGGGGGGCGCAGUUCGUGAGGGAAAAAAAUCAAAGAAAAUGGUAAAAAAGGGGAAAUAAUGAGAAAAUAAGCUUUUUCACGCUGGGGGCGGUGAAUUUUGAGGGGUGACUUUGGGGGUGCUGCCCUUUUUUGGCGAUUUUAGGGACUAUUUUGUCGCCCCCGCGGGGGCGGGGCUGGGCCGUUUAUAAGGGAGGGCCCCGCGCCCGCAGCGCCCGGCCGAGAACCAGCCCCGGAACGGCCCCAAUUCGGCCCAAAAUCGCUCUAUUCUGAGCCCAAAGCUCUUAGAGCUGCUCGAUUUUAUACAAAAAAGCUCCUAUAAUGGCUUUAUUUUCUAUCGAGAGCUCCAAAAACGGCUUCACUGCCUACAAAAAGCUCUUAAAGCUGCGAAAUUUUAUAGAAAGAGCUUCUAAGGCUGCUUUAUUUCAUAAAAGCGGCUCAUAAAUCUUUAUUUAAAGAAAAGAGAUAAAAGCUGUUUCCUUUAAGGAAAACCGAGCUCUUAAAGCUGCUUGCUUUCAAGAAAGAUCCUUAAAUUGCGGCGAUUCCAGUAAUGGGAAAAGCCGGGGCCAGCCGGGGCACUUUUAAUUGAAAAAAUGAAUGAAAAACCUUAGAAAAGCUCCUAAAGCUGGUUUUUAUUUAAACCGAAGCUUCUGAUGCUGGUUUUUAAGAAAUCGCUGCUUUCAAAGCCGAUUUCUGGGAGAGAACGCAGCUCUCGCAGCUCUUUAAUUCUUAAAAUAUCGUAAUGUGAUAUUUUCGAAAAGCCGGAGCGAGCUGGGGCGGUUUUAAUUUUAAAAAAAGAGCUUUUUAAGCUGCUUUAAUUUAAAGAAGGAAAAAGCGCUUGAUACGCUAUUUUCUGCUAAAAAAGCUCCUAAAUUUAUUUUUUAAACAAAAGCUCCUAAAGCUUUAAAAAAUGUAGUUUUGUCCCCAAGCGGGGCCGGGCCGGGCAGCGCAGGCGGGGGCGGCCGGUUUGGGGUGAAAUGCGGCAUUUUCAGGCUCAGGAUGGAUUGAGAGGAGCCAAUUUUGAGGGAAGAACAGGAAAAUUGAAGAGUGAAGAUGGAAUCGGCAGGGAAAGGAAAGUUUUUCUUCGCAGUUGCCCCAUCUGGGGGGAAAAAAAGGACUUUUUGUUAAAAUGGCGGCAGUUGGGCAGGGGAGGAGCAGAGAGAAGAGAG
Cyanistes caeruleus (blue tit) is the source of this 2366-nucleotide non-coding RNA. Lineage: Eukaryota; Metazoa; Chordata; Aves; Passeriformes; Paridae. The record is from RefSeq and is a predicted model, not a curated record.